CACAUGGAGCAGAGACCCCUGAGAGUGCCCAAGCUGGCCUGGAUGGAGGAGGAGGAGGAAGAAGGAGCCCCAGCUGGAGCUGCCCCAGCACAUGAGAUGGAAGAGGUGGAGCCGUUCCAGCCACCGCAGGAGGGUGAGUGGCAGAGCUGGGCACAGGGAUGGUGCCUGCAGCCAACUAAGCCCCAUCCCAUCCAAUCCCGUCCUGUCCCCUGGGGAUGUGGCCCUGGAGAGGACAGAAGGGGCGCGAAGGCUGAACCCUGCAGUGGCCGUGCUCCAUCCCCUGGGGCAUCCCGGGGCUGUCCCUGCCUGGGGAGCGCAGGGCUGGGCUCUGUUCUCCGGCCUCUCCUGCAGCCCCUCAGCUCUGGCUGCGCUCGCUCUUUGCCAGGUGCGGCCAUGGACCAGACACAAGAGCAGGAGCCCGCCCGUGGCCGCUUCCGCAGAACAGCGCAGGUACCUGCAGCCAUCCCCACCUGGGCUGGGCUGCUGUCACUGCUCAGCCCAGCACCACGCUUGCAAUGCUCCACGCAACAUCCCUGGCUUCUUGCCCUUCUGCUACAGCUGGUUCUGAAAUUCAUCAAGAGAAUUCGGAAGGAAGAGACCAGCGCCAUCGGCACUGGGGUCCAAGGAUACCCGCCCCUCUUCAAAACCAAGACCAGUGCUGCCCUGCUGGAUAUGUUUGUAGAGGAGGGUUUUUACAAUCAAAAACAAGUAAGCAGCCUCGCAGGUGUUGCUUGUCCUCCCAAGCCACGCCUGCUAGUCCUGUGAGGCUUUGAGUCUAUUGCAGUGUGGUGGGAAGGAAAGCACUUCUUUGGGGAAGCUGGAGACAUUACUCCCUCUGGCAGCUUUCCAAGUCUCCCUGUGCCUUCUCCAGGUGCCUGCCUUGGUGAGGUACAUCCACCAGUGGCUCAUGGCCAAUGAGGACUCUGAGCACAGGCUGUCCAGGGCCCUGUUGGUUCUUACCGAGGCACAGCCCGCUGAUGUGGUGAUGACUCUCCUGCGUGUGGCCCCAUCGUGUGACAGGUAUGGGGCCCACCUGCCCAGAGGGCUCAGGGCUCCCCAGCCCAUUAACCUGGACAGUCUGUCCCAGGUGUCUGACCAAAGGGGAAUUCCAGAGCCCUCUGGCUGCUCUCUUCCCCAGCCCUGGCAUGUCAGGCCCCGAGCCUCCUGCCAGGCUCCCUCCCUGCUCCUCAGGGGCCUGUCCCCACAGCGCUGGGCUGCCUGAAAACUUCUGGUGAAGGGCAGUGGGCAGAGGCAGAGCUGGCAGCCAGCUCAGCUCCCCAGUGCUGCCAUUGCCAUGGUGAUGUGUGUGAGAGCCCCCUGAGACAGAGUUCUGACCCCACAGACCUGCUAUGUCCAUGUGGAAGACGAUCAUGUGCUCGCCCAGGAGUGCAGAGCCGGCACUGCUGUUACUCCUUGAUGUGCUGCAGAACUGGCCAGAGCACAGCACGUGCACCUCUGAUGGGGACAAAAGGGGUGUCUUUGCCCUGGCUGUGAGUUACUGGGACUGGCCUCUGCUCACCCCGGGGCUGCCUCUCCAGCAGCUCUCCACCCUCCUUCCCCCACUGCAUCUCCCUGCCUCAGGCGCUGGGAUGAAACCUGGCCUAGGGGCAGCUCCAGGGGCACCAGGCCCGGUGCUCCCCCUGUGUCUCCCCUGGCCUCUCCCUGCCACGCUGGGGCCCUGCCACACAGACACAAGGGCACUGAGCGCUGUCUCGGGAUGCUUUGCCCUUUGCAGGCAACUGUGGUGAUGUGGAAGAUGCUCCGGAUGCUCUCUGUCCCACAUAUGGUGACAAUGUAUUUCCCCCACCUCUUUGUGCAUCUGCUCUUCCAAGUGUUCUUCAGCACUUUGGAUACGCCAGAGGAGGUUGAUACUUUCUGGAAGGCAUGCCAGGAGCAACACGGCCUUGCCACCAGCCCCAAGAGGUGCUCCAUCCCAGUCCUCCUGUGCCUGCCACAUCCCCAGGGCAGGAGCCAGUGCUCCCAGCGUGACCUGGGCUUUGCUCUGCACACAGGUUUGCACUGCGGACCCUGAAGUCCCUGCUCUGCCAAAUGCAAUACGAGAAUGUGGUGGUGGCAAUAGAACGCAAGCGUGGCUGGGACACGCUGCUCUGUGCACACACCCACCUCCAUGCUGUGGGUGUGCUGGCCAGGUGAGAGCCCCUUCUCCCCCCUGCCUCUGGCAUUUGUUCCCAGUGCCCAGGCUGCCCCACUCAGUCCCCGUGGUUGUGGGCCAGAUGGCCUUGGCACUGAGGGUCUGCCAAAAAGACAAGAGAUUCUGGGAGAGGAGGAUGUCCAGGAGCACCUCCCAAGUGGCUUAGGACCCCCUUACAGGACAGUGGUGAAACAUCACACCUCUGGGAGUCAGUCCUGGGAGAGGUUUGUCCCUCUGGCUCACAAUCUUGGUUGCUUUUUCUCCUGCCAGAGAGGUGUCUUUGGCGUCCAUACUCUCAUGUUCCCAGAUCACACACUACAUGCUCUGCCUGCUCAGCACACAGGAACCACGCUGGGAUCUGCCUGCCCUGGCUUUCCUUGUGGAGGUGAGCCUGAAGGCCAGCGCUACCUGCUGAGCUUCCUCCCAGCUCUCUGCCAUCUGGUAGCCGCAGCUGUCUGGGAUGGUGCCCGUGCCAUGUGCCGCUGCCUGGGCCCGGCCUUGUGCACUUCUGGGCUCCUGCUGGCAGGGUCCCCUGCUGCCUUUCAGGUUCUAGAUUGCCUGGACUUGAGUGAAUGCAGUGACACUGUUCUGGAGAUCCUGUCAAAGAGCCUGCGGAGCGAGUGCAGGGAGAAUCAUCACUUGGCACUCAAAGGCCUCCUGGUUCUCGGCAAGAAGCCUCCGAUGGUAAGAAGGGAGCAGCAGCUGAAGCCGGGUGGGUAGUGUGGGGCUGGGUAACACAGUCACUUUGGCUGGGCUCAGUUUCGGGCACUGAGGCAGCUGCUGCCCGCUCUACUGCCUCCCACUUCAGCUGCCCAAGUGCUCAGGACAGGCCUUUGGCCUCUGAGCCCUGCAUCAGCAGGGUAGGGUUUCACAGACUUCUGUUCCACACAGGCCACAAAAAUGUGGAAGCUGACUGAAAGCCUCACAGAGUUCCUGCAGGAAAAGGAUAGCGACAUUGUCAGGAUGACCAUCGUUCUACUUCAAUAUUUGCUGCAGUAUAAUGGCACCCCAAUAGCCAGCCCCAUUGCUCUGAGGCUGGCUGAGGCGCUCCUGCCACUCUUUGACAGCGUAAGGCUCUGUGCCCCGAGCCAUGGCCACCGGGUGCUGCCCAGACAAUUGGUGCCCUGUGGAUUUGAAGGCAGGUGCCCAGAUGGGCCAGAAGCCGCUGAUGCUGAGGUCUUUUUUCCUUCCUUUCACACAGGAUGAUAGCCAGGUGCAGCUGUGUUCUAUGUUUGUCUUUCAAGAGAUGAUGGUGUUAUUAGUGGAAGAGGGAAGAAAGGCCCUGAAGUCACAUGUGCGCCAGAGCCUGCUGCCACUCUCCUUCCACUGCCAUGACCAGAACCAGGGUGUGGCUGAGGUCAGGACUUGGGAGCUGCUGCUUUCCCCUGGGAGGGGGCUUAGCUGUCUCCUACCCUGGAGCCUUGCAGUCUGCAACCUUCUCCUGGCGUUGGCACUGGGACAGUCCUGUGCCCUGAACUCUGGGGCCAUCUCUGGGUGUCUGCUGCUCUGCAGGCCUCUCGGGAAACGCUGCGUUGUUCAGCCAGAUUCCUGAAGAGGAAGGAUCUUGAACAGAUGCUGCAGGUGGAUCAGACAUGGAGGUUUGGCGAGGGCCUGGUAAGGAGGGCCUGGAAGCAACAGCCUCAGCUGGGAGAAGCCCUCUCAGCAUGUUGCUCAGUGUGUGUUGGGCUGGCAGCUGUGGGCCCUGCCCAGUGCUGCACCCAGGGGCACCAGCCUGCACCCCACACGCUGCUCUCUUCCCUGGGCCACCAGGUUGCUUGCCCAAGCUCCUGUGGCCCCGAGCCGGGUGCCGAUGGAGACCUGGCCCAGCAGGGCUGUGGGGCGAGGUGACACCGCGGCUUCCCGGGCAGCACCGACCCUCUGCCCCCUCCAGAGCCCCGCGCCUGCGGCUGCUGGCCGGGCCUCAGGGCUGUGCGGGCAGGGGAGGCUGGGGCUGGACGCAGGGAGAGCCCGGCCGAGGGGCUGAGCCCGCGCCAACUCUUCCCUCCUGCCGCUCUCUCCAGCUGGCUGAGGACAGGAGCCGAGCGGCCGAGCACCUGCGCCGGGCCCUGCCGUACCUGCAGAACCCACAGGAGCCCGUGCGGGAGGCGGCCAUCAGGUUCCUGGGUGAGCCACGAGCCCGGGCUCCCUCCCCGGCCCGCCGCAGCUCGGCCCCAGCCCCGGCUGCUGCCCCGGCAGCGGCCUCCGGGCCCGGCGCCGUGGAGCCCCGCCUGCCCUCGGGGCUGCUGCCGCCCUCUGGCAGCCGUGCCCGCCCCUGGGCGGCAGGAAGCGGCAAGGGCCCGGGCUGAGCCGUGCCGGGCCAGGAGGCCGUGGGGCCACAGGGCUGGCAGCGCCUCUGGCACCGAGCUGUGCCGCUGGGGCCGUGACAGGCUCUGUGUUCCCAGGGAUCGCCGGGCGGCACCUGAGGGGAAACAAGGAAGAGCUCCAGCUCAUCUGUGAGGCCCUUGAAGACAUGGCAGGUGACAGCAGCCAUGCCAUCAGAAACCUGGCAAUGGAAACAGCGUUUGUCCUCCGGGCGGUGCAGAGAGCGCCGUACUCCAUGUUGCGGAAGCUGCUAGAUCAGCUCCACGGGGCAUGGAAGAAACGGCCUUGUCUAUGUGGCAGUGCCUGGCUGUGUUGCUGGAGCUCUGCAGAGGGCUGAUCUGGAAGGCUCUGUCUGCUGGGGUCACCAGAGACAAACAUUUUCUUUUUUUUAAGAUCAUUCUUCUUUCUGUUUUUCUGUAAUCUUUAAAUAUAGAAUGUGUUAUAAAUA
Long non-coding RNA from Prinia subflava (tawny-flanked prinia), 4922 nucleotides. RefSeq lists it as uncharacterized. NCBI's taxonomy places the organism in Eukaryota, Metazoa, Chordata, Aves, Passeriformes, Cisticolidae. The record is from RefSeq and is a predicted model, not a curated record. The transcript is spliced from 2 exons.